RNAcentral lists this ribosomal RNA (210 nucleotides) under Lacticaseibacillus casei. RNAcentral describes it as "Lactobacillus casei partial 23S rRNA". It matches the Rfam family "Bacterial large subunit ribosomal RNA", at positions 1 to 212 of the family's 2925-position model. The record is from RNAcentral. Lineage: Bacteria; Bacillati; Bacillota; Bacilli; Lactobacillales; Lactobacillaceae.
GUUAAGUUACAAAGGGCGCACGGUGGAUGCCUUGGCACUAGGAGCCGAUGAAGGACGGAACUAAUACCGAUAUGCCUCGGGGAGCUAUAAGUAAGCUUUGAUCCGGAGAUUUCCGAAUGGGGAAACCCAGUACACAUCAGUGUAUUGCUUGUCAGUGAAUACAUAGCUGGCCGGCGGCAGACGCGGGGAACUGAAACAUCUAAGUACCCG